UGUGUGUGAAUUGAUCUAUAUAAAAAUUUAGGUUAACAUAAUAAAGAGUUUUGUUGUAUUAUUCUGAAAGUACUAAACGUAGUUUAGUAAUUAUUUUGCCAAUAAUAAAUUAUAGUUAAAAAAAAAAAACU
This is a long non-coding RNA of Melitaea cinxia (Glanville fritillary), 131 nucleotides long. RefSeq lists it as uncharacterized. The transcript is spliced from 3 exons. The record is from RefSeq and is a predicted model, not a curated record. NCBI's taxonomy places the organism in Eukaryota, Metazoa, Arthropoda, Insecta, Lepidoptera, Nymphalidae.